UUUUUCUUUUAAACACAUCCCAACCCAAAGUAUAAGCGCCCACCUAGUUUUAUCUAGUCCGAAAAAUGCGAACUAGAACUACAUGAGACACUAUCUCUGUCGUUACAAACCUAACACUUUCUACCAAGCUUAAUUAGAAUAAG
RNAcentral lists this small RNA (143 nucleotides) under Arabidopsis thaliana (thale cress). RNAcentral describes it as "ATSL272190". Lineage: Eukaryota; Viridiplantae; Streptophyta; Magnoliopsida; Brassicales; Brassicaceae. The record is from RNAcentral.